RNAcentral lists this ribosomal RNA (292 nucleotides) under uncultured bacterium. RNAcentral's name for it is "partial 16S ribosomal RNA". The record is from RNAcentral.
GGACUACCCGGGUUUCUAAUCCUGUUCGCUCCCCUAGCUUUCGCGCCUCAGCGUCAGAUGCCAGCCAGGACACUGCCUUCGCCUUUGGUAUUCCUCCGGAUAUCUACGCAUUUCACCACUCCACCCGGAAUUCUAUGUCCCUCUCUGGCCCUCAAGUCCGGCAGUUUUCAGAGGCCUUACCCAGUUAAGCCGGGUACUGUCACUCCAAACUUACCGCACCGCCUGCACGCCCUUUACGCCCAGUAACUCCGGACAACGCUCGCCCCCUACGUAUUACCGCGGCGGCUGGCAC